RNAcentral lists this ribosomal RNA (273 nucleotides) under uncultured bacterium. RNAcentral describes it as "partial 16S ribosomal RNA". It matches the Rfam family "Bacterial small subunit ribosomal RNA", at positions 1 to 292 of the family's 1533-position model. The record is from RNAcentral.
UAGUGAGUUUGAUCCUGGCUCAGGAUGAACGCUGGCGGCGUGCUUAACACAUGCAAGUCGAACGAAUGAUCCGGUGGCUUGCACCGGGGAUUAGUGGCGAACGGGUGAGUAACGCGUAGAGAAUCUGCCUUCUGGUCGGGGACAACCACUGGAAACGGUGGCUAAUACCGGAUAUGCCUAUGGGUGAAAGAUUAAUUGCCAGAAGAAGAGCUCGCGUCUGAUUAGCUAGUUGGAGAGGUAAAGGCUCACCAAGGCAUCGAUCAGUAGCUGGUC